CCGACCUUAGCUCAGUUGGUAGAGCGGAGGACUGUAGUAUGCUUCGUAGCAAUCCUUAGGUCGCUGGUUCGAAUCCGGCAGGUCGGA
RNAcentral lists this transfer RNA (87 nucleotides) under Capsicum annuum. It matches the Rfam family "tRNA". From Rfam's summary of the family: Transfer RNA (tRNA) molecules are approximately 80 nucleotides in length. Their secondary structure includes four short double-helical elements and three loops (D, anti-codon, and T loops). The record is from Rfam by way of RNAcentral. Lineage: Eukaryota; Viridiplantae; Streptophyta; Magnoliopsida; Solanales; Solanaceae.